CCUACGGGGGGCAGCAGUGAGGAAUAUUGGUCAAUGGACGAGAGUCUGAACCAGCCAAGUAGCGUGAAGGAUGACUGCCCUAUGGGUUGUAAACUUCUUUUAUAAAGGAAUAAAACGAGGCACGUGUGCCUUUUUGCAUGGACUUUAUGAAUAAGGAUCGGCUAACUACGUGCCAUCAGCCGCGGUAAUACGGAGGGUCCGAGCGUUAUCCGGAUUGAUUGGGUUUAAAGGGAGCGUAGAUGGGUUGUUAAGUCAGUUGUGAAAGUUUGCGGCUCAACCGUAAAAUUGCAAUUGAUACUGGCAGUCUUGAGUACAGUUGAGGUAGGCGGAAUGCGUGGUGUAGCGGUGAAAUGCUUAGAUAUCACGAAGAACCCCGAUUGCGAAGGCAGCUUACUAAACUGUGACUGACAUUGAUGCUCGAAAGUGUGGGUAUCAAACAGGAUUAGAUACCCUGGUAGUC
Molecule: ribosomal RNA, 460 nt
Filed under: uncultured bacterium
Lineage: Bacteria
Description: partial 16S ribosomal RNA
Rfam family: Bacterial small subunit ribosomal RNA
Source: RNAcentral